Molecule: long non-coding RNA, 106 nt
Organism: Cotesia glomerata
Lineage: Eukaryota; Metazoa; Arthropoda; Insecta; Hymenoptera; Braconidae
Exons: 3
Source: RefSeq, a predicted model, not a curated record
UAAACACAAAAUAAUAAAAAACAGAAAACUCUGCUAUCGUUUAGUGGCGCCAUAAUUCUAAGGUGAUGAUUAAAAAUACUAUAAUAAAAUAAAUAGAUAGAUUCAU